RNAcentral lists this ribosomal RNA (253 nucleotides) under uncultured bacterium. RNAcentral describes it as "partial 16S ribosomal RNA". It matches the Rfam family "Bacterial small subunit ribosomal RNA", at positions 524 to 776 of the family's 1533-position model. The record is from RNAcentral.
UACGUAGGGUGCAGGCGUUAAUCGGAAUUACUGGGCGUAAAGCGUGCGCAGGCGGUUUCUUUAGUCAGAUGUGAAAGCCCCGGGCUUAACCUGGGAACUGCGGUUGAAACUGGGGGACUCGAGUGUGGCAGAGGGGGGUGGUAUUCCACGUGUAGCAGUGAAAUGCGUAUAUAUGUGGAGGCACACCGAUGGCGAAGGCAGCCCCCUGGGUUAACACUGACGCUCAUGCACGAAAGCGUGGGGAGCAAUCAGG